This 30-nucleotide non-coding RNA is filed under the name Homo sapiens (human). Lineage: Eukaryota; Metazoa; Chordata; Mammalia; Primates; Hominidae. The record is from RNAcentral.
GCUGAAGGAUCUCUAAGCUACGGUGUGGGC